RNAcentral lists this ribosomal RNA (324 nucleotides) under uncultured eukaryote. Its description in RNAcentral is "partial 18S ribosomal RNA". It matches the Rfam family "Eukaryotic small subunit ribosomal RNA", at positions 1470 to 1796 of the family's 1831-position model. The record is from RNAcentral.
CCCUUAGACGUUCUGGGCCGCACGCGCGCUACACUGAUGUGUCCAGUAAGCACCUAACCUCUUCCGAAAGGAACGGGUAACCUUUGCAAAGCACAUCGUGAUGGGGAUAGAUUAUUGCAAUUAUUAGUCUUGAACGAGGAAUUCCUAGUAAGCACAAGUCAUCAGCUUGUGUUGAUUACGUCCCUGCCCUUUGUACACACCGCCCGUCGCUCCUACCGAUUGAAUGUUCCGGUGAGCUCUUCGGACUGCGCGGUCUGCAGUUUCUGCGUUCCGUGCGGAAAGUUGCGCAAACCUUAACAUUUAGAGGAAGGAGAAGUCGUAACA